Molecule: ribosomal RNA, 407 nt
Filed under: uncultured bacterium
Lineage: Bacteria
Description: bacterial SSU rRNA
Rfam family: Bacterial small subunit ribosomal RNA
Source: RNAcentral
UGGGGAAUAUUGGACAAUGGGUGAAAGCCUGGUCCAGCCAUGCCGCGUGUGUGAAGAAGGUCUUCGGAUUGUAAAGCACUUUAAGUUGGGAGGAAGGGCAUUAACCUAAUACGUUAGUGUUUUGACGUUACCGACAGAAUAAGCACCGGCUAACUCUGUGCCAGCAGCCGCGGUAAUACAGAGGGUGCAAGCGUUAAUCGGAAUUACUGGGCGUAAAGCGCGCGUAGGUGGUUUGUUAAGUUGGAUGUGAAAGCCCCGGGCUCAACCUGGGAACUGCAUUCAAAACUGACUGACUAGAGUAUGGUAGAGGGUGGUGGAAUUUCCUGUGUAGCGGUGAAAUGCGUAGAUAUAGGAAGGAACACCAGUGGCGAAGGCGACCACCUGGACUAAUACUGACACUGAGGUGC